GAGUUUGAUCAUGGCUCAGGAUGAACGCUGGCGGCGUGCUUAACACAUGCAAGUCGAACGAAGCGCCUUAUUUGAUUUUCUUCGGAACUGAAGAUUUGGUGACUGAGUGGCGGACGGGUGAGUAACGCGUGGGGUAACCUGCCCUGUACAGGGGGAUAACAAUCAGAAAUGACUGCUAAUACCGCAUAAGACCACAGCACCGCAUGGUGCAGGGGUAAAAAACUCCGGUGGUACAGGAUGGACCCGCGGUCUGAUUAGCUGGUUGGUGAGGUAACGGCUCACCAAGGCGACGAUCAGUAGCCGGCUUGAGAGAGUGAAGGGCCACAUUGGGACUGAGACACGGCCCAAAACUCCUACGGAGGCAGCAGUGGGGAAUAUUGCACAAUGGGGGAAACCCUGAUGCAGCAACGCCGCGUGAGUGAAGAAGUAUUUCGGUAUGUAAAAGCUCUAUCAGCAGGGAAGAAAAGUGACGGUACCUGACUAAGAAGCCCGGCUAAACUACGUGCCAGCCGCCGCCGU
RNAcentral lists this ribosomal RNA (519 nucleotides) under uncultured microorganism. RNAcentral describes it as "bacterial SSU rRNA". It matches the Rfam family "Bacterial small subunit ribosomal RNA", at positions 9 to 521 of the family's 1533-position model. The record is from RNAcentral.